RNAcentral lists this ribosomal RNA (409 nucleotides) under uncultured soil bacterium. Its description in RNAcentral is "bacterial SSU rRNA". It matches the Rfam family "Bacterial small subunit ribosomal RNA", at positions 26 to 445 of the family's 1533-position model. The record is from RNAcentral.
AGAUUGAACGCUGGCGGCAUGCCUAACACAUGCAAGUCGAACGGGAGUAGCAAUACUCUAGUGGCGGACGGGUGAGGAAUACGUAGGAAUUUGCCCUUAAGUGGGGGAUAACCCGGGGAAACCCGGAUUAAUACCGCAUGACCUCGAAAGAGCAAAGUGGGGGAUCGCAAGACCUCACGCUUUUGGAGAAGCCUACGUCGGAUUAGCUAGUUGGUGAGGUAAUGGCUCACCAAGGCGACGAUCCGUAACUGGUCUGAGAGGAUGAUCAGUCACACCGGAACUGAGACACGGUCCGGACUCCUACGGGAGGCAGCAGUGGGAAUAUUGGACAAGUGGGCGCAAGCCUGAUCCAGCAAUGCCGCGUGUGUGAAGAAGGCCUUCGGGUUAGUAAAGCUACGUUUAAGUUAGG